This 578-nucleotide long non-coding RNA is filed under the name Mus caroli (Ryukyu mouse). Its description in RNAcentral is "lncRNA (MGP_CAROLIEiJ_G0002825.1)". Lineage: Eukaryota; Metazoa; Chordata; Mammalia; Rodentia; Muridae. The record is from RNAcentral.
AUAAUGGAAAAAUCCAAACAGAAAAAAAAAACAAAAAAAACAAACCCAAAUUGGAUGUCGUAAAGAAAUACAACUCAGCUAAGUUUGCCAGAACAAUUCUGUUCUAUGUAGGAAUGCACCUCCUAACAACAAAAUCUGAAGACCCCACCACAGCCACACGCCCACAGGCACAGGCACAGAGCUGAAUGUGCACUGAAGGAAAACCAGACCAGAACUCGAUGCAGAACCUCACUAACCCCAUGGGAGGCAGACACUCUGACCUGCCAGGCCCUGACCUCUGCCUGGAAGCCUAGCCACUGGUGCCAAGACUCUUGAAGGAGUCUUAGGCUCUUCAAAGAAGUUGGGGCCUCUGUAUGAAGAAGAUUCACCAAGAAAAAAACUUAGACAAGUCUUCACUGAUUUUGUUGCUUUAAGCAUUUUUCGGCACUUGUUCGUUUCUGUUGAAUACUUUCUCCUCAUGAAGAGUUGUAAGUUCGCUCUCUAAGUUUGUACUAACUGGUUUCUUCUCUCCCUUGUCUGCAAGAUCUUCAAUUUUAAGCAUCUGUUCCUCGAAAUGAAAACAGUAUUUUUAAAAAGCC